RNAcentral lists this ribosomal RNA (480 nucleotides) under uncultured bacterium. Its description in RNAcentral is "partial 16S ribosomal RNA". It matches the Rfam family "Bacterial small subunit ribosomal RNA", at positions 28 to 523 of the family's 1533-position model. The record is from RNAcentral.
GACGAACGCUGGCGGCGUGCUUAACACAUGCAAGUCGAACGAUGAAGGAGAGCUUGCUCUCCGGAUUAGUGGCGAACGGGUGAGUAACACGUGACUAACCUGCCCCUUUCUCUGGGAUAACGCUCCGAAAGGAGUGCUAAUACCGGAUACGAACUCUGAACACAUGUUCGGAGUUGGAAAGUUUUCGGAAAGGGAUGGAGUCGCGGCCUAUCAGCUUGUUGGUGAGGUAACGGCUCACCAAGGCGACGACGGGUAGCCGGCCUGAGAGGGCGACCGGCCAAACUGGGACUGAGACACGGCCCAGACUCCUCCGGGAGGCAGCAGUGGGGAAUAUUGCACAAUGGGCGAAAGCCGGAUGCAGCGACGCCGCGUGAGGGAUGAAGGUCUUCGGAUUGUAAACCUCCUUCAGUAGGGACGAAGCGAAAGUGACGGUACCUAAAGAAGAAGCACCGGCUAACUACGUGCCAGCAGCCGCCGUAA